AAACAUGGUUCAACAGCAAAUAUCUUCAAAGUAUGAACGCCCAGUCCCACUAUGCAACAGAUAUAUUUGCCAGGAUGUAUAAUUCGAGGCUGUAGAAUGCAAGUCCAUUAUUAUUGCAGCAACUUCAGCUGACCAAAGGUCAAACACUCUAAUAAUCCAGGCUAUGUCAAUAACUAAAGAAAUUUGUUUUUCCUUGCAAAGAAACAUGAAUUUAUUCUUGACCUUUUUGUUUUCCUUCGCUACACAUUUUGUUCUAAAACCAUAUAUGAUCUACCAAAAGCACAAAGUCCUCAUGCAAACUGCUUCUACCAAUGGCGUUUGCAUGCAUAGGCAUAAUUGCCAAUUGGCGCAACUGCCCACGAACAAGUAGCAUGCACAUGCAUUAUUGGGAAUCCAGAUACAAUAGCCUCUCAAGUUGUCCAGCAACAUUGAAUAACCAUUCUUGCAUCAUUAACUUUCACAGUUAGAAAUGCAGCCAUACGUGUUUGAGAAGAUUUUUUUAGUUCAUUUUAUUUGGAUCAGAACAUGUACUGCUUUUUUUCCUUGGCGCUUCUAUUGGAAGACCCAGAAUCAGCAUAUAAAACAUUAUGCUUGAAAACUCUUCUAGGGUA
Molecule: unclassified non-coding RNA, 611 nt
Filed under: Hevea brasiliensis (rubber tree)
Lineage: Eukaryota; Viridiplantae; Streptophyta; Magnoliopsida; Malpighiales; Euphorbiaceae
Source: RNAcentral